Cercocebus atys (sooty mangabey) is the source of this 14283-nucleotide long non-coding RNA. RefSeq lists it as uncharacterized. The record is from RefSeq and is a predicted model, not a curated record. Lineage: Eukaryota; Metazoa; Chordata; Mammalia; Primates; Cercopithecidae. The transcript is spliced from 7 exons.
CUCCUGACCUCGUGAUCUGCCCACUUCGGCCUCCCAGAGUGCUGGGAUUACAGGCGGGAGCCACCGCACCCGGCUGCACUUUUCAAUAAACAACGAUUCUGCCGCAAGUCUUGGCUGAACCGUGUGGCCUUCUCUUCUGGCGACUCUAUCUAGCCAUCUGUGUGAACAGGACAUGUGGGUGGCGGUAGUGGCACUUUUCCAAAUAACUCUGUAUGCCAGCAGUGGUCGUGGAUCACACUAAUUGUUCUGCUAUUCAAUUAAAGGGAUUUUUUUUCUUCCAGAUGCUUCAUUCUUUAAAUGUGUUAGCUAUAGGGCAAUCCAUUUUAAACUGGGAACUUGGUUGCUUUCUCUGAUCUUAAAGCAGAUUGCUGGUACUUGUCUGUUUCUAUCACUUUUUGCUCCUCUGCCCUUUCCACUUCCACACCUCUCGGCUCCGAGAACUGAUAACGUUGCUUUUUAGUCUCUGGCUGGGUUAUGGACAUAGAAAGCCAAACCACAAUAGGUUAGAUGUGAAGCGUAGUGAUAAAGAGGAAAACAAUAUGAUGGUAAAUAUGUGGGUUGCAUUUUCAAUUUUGCAUUUUUAUUGCAUUCCUAUUUUUCCAUUAAGUAAUUCUCCCUGAGCUUGGCCACAUUUUUUCUGACGCCGGAUAUGUGUGUUUGUUGAUUUGCAGUAUUGUUAUGCUUUAUGUAUAUGUUUGACAGGAUGCAUAUUCAUUCCACUAACAUUCAUUAGCACUCAAAUGAAUGCACAGACGUGAAUGAUAGAUUUAAGCACACGUGUCUGCUUUCCUUCUGAUAAACAAUAGCUUUUCAGGACUGUCGACUAGUGAGGAUUCUCAACAGAGCUUUAUUUGAGAACAAAUGGAGAAUCUCUCUUCAAUUACAUAAUUAGAAUUAAAUCCUAGAAAGGCACCUCAGUGGCUGGUAAACCUUUCUGCAGACUUCGUUUUGUGAAAGAAAAUGCUAGUAACUGCUGCUUGUUCCUGCACAUUGUUUUGUUUUGGAUAUGUUCAAAUAUAAUUGUUUCUGCUGUUCAGUGGCCUCCUGUUUGCAAGCAUGUAUUUGUUAAAACACAUUGAGAAGGAAAUUUUCAGUUUUUAGGAAAAUCAGUUUUGAACUAGAAUUCAUAGACCAUGCUUUCCGUGGUGACAAUGCUGGAUUGCUUCACAGCACUGGUCCUCUCGCGCUGCCGAGUGGAACGAUGACUAGGCACUGUGUGACGAGGCACGAUGCUGAUUAGUAUCCAGAAAAAAAGUCCUCAACACCAUGUAGCUUUCUAAGCUCUUGCUUUACAUAAAUAUGCUGGUAACUACUGACUCUUAAGUUUUGGCAGUGAUUUUGCUAGUAAACAUAUUUUCAGGCCAGAAACUCUACAAUGUAAAGUAAGAUAUUGCCCCCACUCCCCAGCCAAGAAAAAAAAAAAAAAAAAGGGAAUGAAAUGCGUGGCUGUAUCAGCCCUUGCCCCUCAAAUGGGUUUUGGCAUACUUUAAGAGAAAUAAAAUAUAAUUUAAUUCUCAAAGAAUUUAGGAUGCUCUUCCAGAAAGAGACGAGUCAGCUUCCCACAUCAAACAGAGGGGAGUCUUUCUCAUAUUUGGUCCAUCUUCUGUAUUUACAGAAUUUUUGCAUUACUUUCUUUUCUUGGUUUAUAACAAUUCAAUAAUUCUUUUCUUUAAAGCUGUCUAAGAAAUGUGUGUUUCACUGAUCCUAGAGGCGGUGCAAUUCUGGACAGCACUUACAACGAAGGUUUAUGUUCACACAAAUUGUCUAGCUACUAAUUCAGAGAGGUCUUCUGUGUAUGGACAUUGGAGUAAUUUAAGCUCAACUGUUUUUCAAGUCAACAAAUAUUGACAUUUGCCUGUUACACUCCAGGCAUUGUUCUUUUUUCUUCACAUUCUUUCUUGCUUUCUACAAGUUAGGCUAAUCCACUAUUAAAGUAGAGACACGAUAACACGAAUUAUUAUUGCAAUAUUAAUUUUCGAAAAACAAAAUAAGGAAAGCAUAUUUUGAAUGGCGGGAGGUGUGGACAAUCAGUGGAAAAUCCAGGUUUGUCUUUUUAUUUUUUGUGCCAGGUCUUGUUCGCUCAGUGUUUACAGUUGGGACCGAUACAAGUCAGUUACCUGAGAAAAUCUGUUAGAGAAAAUAGCUACUGAAACUCUGAAGAAUCUGUCUUUCCUGCUUAUUUUUCAAGCUUACUCUAACAUAUUUAAAUCAGCAAAUUUCUAGUGAAACUGAAAAAAGGUCUGUCCUGUUGGUCAGGCUUACGUAAACACAGUUAUGUAAGCAGUACUUGAGGGCAGAAAUUGUCCCAGGCACAAGCUAUUGUCACAACUAAGCUUUUUACAAGGCAAGGAUGAAUAAACUCACGACUUUAGUUGUGCCCCAUAGUCUGUUAAUCUUUCCAUCUUUUAAUGCAAACUUAUUCAUACUGGAAAAAUAUAUAUUAUAAUUCACAUUAUAUGUGUACAUUCACAUACACAUUAUUGAGACUUCUAUUGGAAAUACGUAGAAAUACUUUGUAGGCAUUUGUAAUCUUCAGGUGAUAAGUAUACAAUUAAAUACACAUCAUGAUGACUAUUUUUGUAAAAUGAUUAUAGCUAAUUAUUCAAAAGUGCUUGAAAUCUGUAUGUACCUCCUGAUUAGGAAUCUAAUAACUACAUAUUAAAAUUUAAAAUUAUUAGAAAUGUUAUGUUUCACAACGUUUAAUGAACCUAAAUAAUUUGGAAUACUAACCUUAUAAAACAUAAUUAUAAAAUGCAGGUAGUUUUUAAUGGAAUCAAGGCUUUCUUGUUUAUUCAAUGAAAUUUCAUGUUUUCUUAGCUUACAAACUAAUAGGAGUAUCAAUUUAAUUUUUACAAACCUAAGCUCCUUUACAUUUUAAAGUAGAAAUUAGAGUAUUUCCCAUUGUAGAAGCUUUUUGUGAUGUGAAAACAGCAUUUAGUGAAGUACUUCCACGAAGUCUUAGCAAUCUGCUUAUUUCAAUGGGAAAUAACUGAAUAUAAAAACAUUUAGCAGUUUUGAUCAGUGAACUUAUGCUGACAUCCUUUUGGCGUAUCUAUAAUAUAUUAUUAAUACAUUGCUAAUAAUAUUUAUAAUUUAAAAUAGUUUCCAAUUGCUGAGGAGCACUUAGAGAUGAAAACCUUCUUUCAUGUAUAGAAAUUAUGGAAGUCCCAGAUGUGAAAAUUGCCGUGUAUUUUUGGUUACGGACACACCCCGAGUUCUCCUCAGGCCGUGGUAAGCAUACGGCACAGAGAUCCUAAUGGCCAGUCCAGGAGUGCCCGUGUCCGCAAGCACUGAGUGGAUGAUGGCCCCCAGAACAUUCCACAAGGCUGAAGCGAGCACUUCAGUCUGCACAUGAGGGUGGCGACAGACAUCAAUUAGGAAACUGAUGUCAAUUACAAAAUUCCUUUUGCGUGAAAAAUUCAUCUUCAGUUUAUAAGGGUUGAUUAUUCCUCCUGUGCCUUUUUAUUUCCUGAAAGUCACACUUGAAUAUUAAGAAGAAAGAAUUUUACAAAACCAAAAAUGGCUGACAGCAGGCAAGUGAGAACUAUUAGUUAACUGAUCAAAAACAAAAAAAAAAAAGAGUGGAAGUGGACAGAGAAGAAAACUGGCAAUAAACUGAUUAUAACUUCCUCUGUCCCUUCUUCCUUUCUUCCUUCUAGCCCGCCGUUAUAUUAUUUUUUAACAGAAGAAAUUUUCCUGGGAAAACUGGAAGUUUUUUAUUCUGAAGCAGUAACAAGUAACUUCCGUGACUUUGCCAUUUUAGCUUUCACUCUUGGUGAAGCUCAAGGCAGUGGCAGAUGAAGGCAGGCCUCCUGCAACUACAAGUCACUUUUCCCUGCUCAGAGGGCCUCCCACCUCAGCUAUGGGCAAGGCCUACCUGGCAGGUAGCCCAAGGGAGGGCUGUGGGUCACUGCCCACCACUGUCUUCUAGCACAUCCAUACCAUAUAUGUACACAUGUACAUAUGCACACCCCACCCCCUGCAUACACACCUACAUUCACAGGCAUGGAUACGCACAUGCACGUAUGCAAGCUCACAUGUGCACAUGCACACAGCACCCCCCACAAACACACACCUACACUCAGGUACACACAGAUACAGACAUGCACACCCAUGCCUGCACAUACACAUGCAAACACUCCUACAUCCACAUGCCCACGCUCACAGGCACAUACGCACAGAUGCGUACACAUACCCACACACAUGCACACAUCCACGUCCACGUCCACACCCACACACACUAUUAAGAAAAAAUCAAAAACUUAAACUGAAUUUGGAGGUAGCAGCUACCAAUAAGAGUUGCAGUGAGCUAACUGGGGACAGGUCCCACCGGAAAUCAUAACGGUGGGUGUCAGGAACUAGGGGGAAGAGGCUGCAGGGGCUCCAGGCCUUUAGGAUGUUUAGAUUCCAUUGGUCUUAGCCUUGUUUUAACCUACCUUGCAUCACUCUGUCUCAUCAAUCAUAAUUUAAAUAUUUGUUUUCUCUACGUCUCUUUGAUCUUUUCUGUAAAUUGAGGUCUUCGACAGAAUUUUAUGUAAAAAGAAUGCUGACAGCGGCAUUCGAAGUUUUAAAAUUCUCUCUGAUUAACACAUUUCUCUUUUGUGGCUGAACCACUCAUCAUAGGAGGAUUGUUCACUAGUCCUUUGCUUUCAACAGGCCUUAAGAUCAUCUGUGGAUUGUGUAACUGGAGAAUUGUGUUUGGGAGGGUUUGGGCUUCCUGGCCACGAGGCAUCUUCUCUCCCAUCUUGCAGUAAGUUGACCAUCUCUGCGCUGGUCGAUCCACAGUCCUGGUGGUCUGAGAGGUACCUUGCUCUCUUAUAGUACCUCUUUCUGCGUCUGUUGCUAGAAAGUGUUCAGAAGAACCAAUGUAUUUUCCCAAGAAAAAGAAAUCAGAAACCUGGUGUAUUGUGCCUGAUGCUUUAGAUAAACUAAUCCAAAUCAGGUGAGUUGUCUGUUGUUUACAGUUGAAUGUCAAACAGAGAAAGCUGAUACAUAGAUCCAAUAACUCUGUUAUCCCACAUUGUACAUAGACUCCAACGUUCUGUCUAAGUCGUUAAGUUUCAAGGGAAAGCAAAGAUGGGAGGGUAGUUCAUACUUACGCUUUCCUGUUUUGUUUUGUUUUUUUGUGUGUGUACCAUUCAGCAACCUUGUCCCUCCUUGGUGUGCUCUGCAGGUGGUGGCCCCACCCUCUGUCAUAUAAAUCCUCCUGCCUAGACUUCGCAUUUUUGUGAGGCAUGGUUUUGAAAUUUCAGAAAUUAAUUUCUUUUGGGCAAUGCCUAGAUUCAGCUGUGAAUGAGUCUGUGCACAGAUUGUGAAACGUGCUCUGGCCUCGUUCGUCUCUGUUGAAAGGAAAUGGCAGCCCCUUGCCAUACCAGGAAAGGGUAAGUCACAAAAAGUGAUUUUGCUCUUGUUUAUUCUGUGACGUACAUUCCUUUGAAAACAUUUUAGUUUUUCAACCCCAGAAGGAAAACCAUCAGCCUUGCUAAAAUUUAUUGUUAAGCCUAGCAAAGUGGAAAUGAUAGUGGAAAAUAUUAAAGAGGUAUAAUUUUUACUUUUUGAGACUUUGUACAAAUAGUAAAACAUGCCUUUCCCGGUAUCUGUUCAGACUUAUCUACAAAAGCCCAAGCAGCCAAAGGGACGGUAACAACCCAGGUGUCAUUUAUUUUCUUAAGAUGUAAUUUAAUGUAACAGGACAGAAACAUCCAGAGGUUCACGACCGGGAAAAAAAUAAUAUGGCCACGAAUAGUGUGAUUUGCAUUUAACUUUUCAUUUUAGAAAGGCUAAAUGAAAAGAAAAAAAUGCUAAAUAUAUUUUAAUCUGCCAAGGGAAUGAAUGCUUUCUAGCUUGUUUUCUAAACUGCUCACAAGAGUGGAAUUGCUGCAGGAACCCCCCUCUGUACUGGAUUAAAUAUUCUGCAGGGCCAUCCAAGGUUAAGUCUCUUCUUUAUUUAAACUGCAACACAUUUCCUAUUUUUCAUCCUCGGUUCUAUUACUGUGUGUAUAUUUUUAAUAAACAAACUUAUUUUCCUUUAUCUUUUUCUUAUUUAGUUUAAUAUAUUUUUAAACAAGUGAGCUUCAGAGAAUCAUUGUGAAUCUCAAUUGCAUAUGUAAAAAUACUUUCAUCGUCUAUGAAGAGCUAUAAAAACAUAAAGUAUUGCCAUUAUAUGUGCAGCAUAUCUUAUAAUUCUGCAUUUCAAAUGCAUGAGCAGUAUCAUGUGAAAAACCCUAAUUAUCUUAUUUAGCUCACACGGGUACAUUCAAAAUAAGUACUUCAGCUUGGCAAUAUUGACAAAGUCCAAGCAGAUUUUUUCCCCUCUUUGACACCUUUAAUUUUUGGGCAAAAUAUGCAUGGAAAAAAUUCUAUUUAUGAAUUACAGUAAGGCCUUAAUAAGUUAUUUCAGCCAAGAAGUCAGAUACCUUUACAUGUUUUGUUAAAUGUAAAGAUAGAAUUUGAUUGUUUGACAAUUUAGUGCUAUCACCAAUUUAUAAAAAGUAACUAAAAGCAAGUUUAUACCAUUAAUUUUUUGAUUAAUAUGUACAGAUGAAGUUUCUUUUCUUUCUUAAAUCGGUUGCCCACAUGUGUUUUUCCAGGUUUUAGUUUCAGCUCACAGACACGGCCACCUUUUGCUCCACAGAAAGUUCUUAUCAUUUUCCAUUUCGAGGUAAAUUGAUGUACAAUUACCAAGCUCAUCAAUUACGCCAAUAACAGAAAUGCGUAUCAACCAAGAGAAAGUAGCUCUGGAGAUUAAGAAAAUGACCUAGGUUCAGUCUCAUUUUAAAGAUAGAAAAAUGGAAAUGUCUUAGUCUUUCAUGGACACACUUUCAGGGUAUUGAAUUAAAGUAAUCGUCUUUGAUAAUUAAGUCUACUAAACGUGUACAUAUUUUCAACCAUUCUAAAUCUUUUAAAAAAUAUAUAUCGUGCAAAAUGCAUCGGAUGUUAACAAUUUAUUCUCUCUGUAUUAGUUUAGAAAUUAAAGAUGCAUACGUCCAAGAUGAAAUCAAAAGUCAGUUUUAAGGUGUAAAUUAUCUAAGCCAGGUAUAUAAAUUUAAUUUUUGCCAAAGUUGUGUUUUUACAUGUAUCCACUGAACUAGAGCCUCCUGUGAAUGUCAGGCAAUAGGAAAUUUAUAGUGAUGGUAGAUUAUUAGAGCGACAUGGUGUAGCACCUUGAGAAAAUAAAAUAUUUCACCGUCGACCUUCAUAUUCCUAACAAAAAAUGCUGGUACAACAUACACAUUUUGAAAUUAGUGUGAAACCCCAGUGCUACAGUGAUGAAGCAAGCUCCUUUUUAAUUUUAGUUUUUUUAUAUUAACCCGACCAAAAUUUAGAGCCAGUCCAUUUUAUGAUGAUUUUAGACACUCGGUGUCAAUUGUUCAAUGGUACCAACUAACUUUUCAUAUCACCUCUUAUUUAUCGUUUGCUUUUCACAGCAACUGAGCACAUCACUGUGCUUUCUCCUUUUCCCUGAAGAAGUAAACUUGCCUUUUUAGCUUCCUGAAAAAAGCAGGCGACUCUGGUGGCUUAUAUUUAGUUACAAUUCAUAAAGGCAGGACUGCGAGUCAGACCCGGGACUUUUUUCUUUUCUGUUGUGUGUUUGCGUGCUGAUGGGGACUGGCUUUUCUUCUUACUGUUGUAGUUUGAAAUGGAAACGCUGCACUGCUGAGAAAAUACCAUGAAAAUAUAACCCACUGCAUUCCAGGAAAAUAAAUAAGCAAGGCCACCCAAAUUUUCAAUUAGUGCUCCGGCAGAAUGCAGGAAAUGGCAAGAGAUCCGUCCAAGGCACCCUAGGCCGGGUCGUGGGUAGAGAGCAGGGACGAAGGCUGGGAGGGGACACAGGCGCAGUGUGAAGAUGGCCCGUCUCCAAGGAAAACUGCGUGCUAAUAGGCUGGGCUGGCUUCCUGGAUCAGCCCGGCUGGGCUGUCCGUUCUGACUGAGGGUGCAGCUGUGCUUCGUUCGGGGCAGGGUGCUGCCUGGUGAAGUGACACUCGAGAGUUCCAGGGGCACUUCCUAUCUUACACGAUAAGCUUAACCAACGUUCUCCAUAACCCCCUCCCUGCCAUGGGAAGCGUCAGCCUCCUGAAACAGCAGUAUGCUGGUCCAUUGUAAAAAGGAUCAAAAGCUUUUGAUUUAAAGCGUUAGGCCUAAGAAUCGCUGUUUCCUGCUUGGUGGGCAUGCCUUGCUAACAUGCCCCAGCCGACCGGGGAAGCCACUGGCCAUAAGGGAGAGAGGCACAGGGAUGUCUCCCCUCCUCAGAGCGAAUGUCAGGGAAGAAGCCAGGUCUUCCGAGGGGCUGACAAGGCCAGGCGUACAGGCUCCUUCCCUCCAUCGUGUUUCUCUGCAAUGUUCAAAUCACUGGUGUGAUGGCAGCACUUGAAAGCCGAAAAAGGAAAGAUGAAAACAAAGGAUUCUUCAGGGAACGUGUAUACAGACUCCUGCUUCCCCUCACUUGCUUUCUGUUUCACUUCUCAGAUCGUCACGACAGCGUCUGCAGCUUUCCAGCUCAUCAGGGUGAACUUAAGACGAGGGGACAAUGAGGUUGGGUGUUUCGGCAGCACGGUGGUGUCCCAGCUUACAAAACAGACAACUAUGAUUAUUUGGGAUACAUUUUAUCUGUUGUGAGCCUAAACCUUUUUUACUUCUAAAACCUUCAGGUUGCAUUGGUAAACAAGAAGUAAAUAUACACAUUCUAUUUAUUCUUAGAACCAAGAAAUGAACUAAUUGAGUAGCGAGUGUGGACCACAGUUGCAAAGGAAGGAAACUCACAAGCGAGCUCUCCAAGCUGUGAUUAUGUGGGCAGGAAGAAUGGCCUGGGUAAAGAGAAGAUGAAGAGCCAUCACUCCAACCAAACAGCAAAUACGAAAUUCAAAUUAUCCUUUGUAAUUUUUCAGUUAGCAGUGCUGUGUAUCUGUGGAAAUCAUGGGAGAGAUUUAAAAAAAUUCUUAUCACCUCACAAAGGUAGAAUGAAUGGGAACAAAAGCGCUAACUGUAUAUUUCUUCUUAGCCAGCUUCUUCCAGUUGAGCACAUUUUCUUGGCAAAUCGACUAUUUUGUUAGGUUAAAAAGGCUGUCGUUUCCUUUUCAGAGUAAAAUCAGGAAUUUCAUUUUUGUACAAUACUACAGCAUUUCCUAUCAUUGAAUUCUAAUGAUUUGAGAGUGUGUUUUUUGUCUAGGUUUCAAAUACAAAGCAAGGAACAGAAAAAAAAAAAAAAACUCUUUCCAUUUGCAGUAGUUUCAAAAUACACAUGGCUUGAGAUUUUGUAAGUUAAGGAAUUUCCAGCCACAGAGAAAUCAAGAACUGUGACCAAUCCCAGGGCAGCUCUGGGAGGAACAGCCUGUGGAGCGUGGGCAGCCGUGGCCUUCCAGCCUGGCCCCUCUGGCCCUCAGGUGCCGCUCUCUGCUUCUCUUCUUCUGUCUUUUCACCACCAUACCUGCAGCUCUUGGCGUUUGUUAGGACCUUCCAUCCAUCCAGCGGCUUCCAGAAAAUUAUCUAAUGAAUUCAUACCCAUGUAAGUUAUUCAUGGGGUUUAACUGAUUUAUUCAGCAAAUGUGCAGAUGUUUCCAAGCACCCUACUUGUUGAGGUCUCUGAGAAAUAUAGAAAUGAUGCUGGCACUUGAUAAAAUACCAAAAUAAAUCACCACCCUGCAAGGCUUUGGACUCGGUGUCAGAACUGGAAAGGAUCUUGACACCACACAGACCAAACCUCUGAUUUCAUAGAUGAGAACGUUAAGGCCUAGAACCAGCCAAUGACAUGAGCAGAUUUCCACUAAAACUUCAUAGAAAUCUGCUGGUCUCUCCGGUGCUCUUUCUGGAUUGCGUCAAUAUCCAAAUCUUUCUCACAUGUUGUGGUAGAUGAAAUUGCUGUUAAAAUAUUCACUGCCCCUCUGACAGGCUUCUCCCACUGAGAGAAUGACACACCCUCAUCCCACUAACGUCAGCCUUGGCCCUGACUUGCUUUGAGAGUGGAAUGAGAGCAGAAGUGACCUGUGCCGUGGUGCAACAGAAGCUAUCUGCCUUUUUUUUUUUUUUCCUUCCAGGGCUUCCACGUUCAUCUGAAUAAAGACUGCUUCUUCAGCCACAGCUAAGAUGCCUGUAAUAGGAGUGAGAGCCGCCUCUGUUGCUGGAAGCCCCUGGGAUUUCAGAGCUGCUUGUAACUGCAGCUUAACACAGCCUCAGCAGACCGAUACGUCGUCGUGUCGCCAAAACAGAGCAGGAAGGAAUCAGAGUCAGCAGUGAUGGUUCUGUUGGUUAAAACUAGUGACACCGACUGGCACACUCACCUGAAUGGUGCACGAGUUGGCACAAACGGAUUUGUGGAUGUGAUUUGGAAAUGGAGAGAUUCUGUGUCCUAAAACCAAUGUACAGAUGGUGACCUCCAGGAAUACCUAAAAGAACAAAAGUUCUGCAUUGAAGAUUCCUUGUGAAACACUUGGGGUUAUAGUUUGAAGUGAACCAAACAGCCGGCUCAUUGUUUGAGAAACAGUUGUUUCACGGGUGAAUCGACUCCUCUUCGGCAGCCACUGGUUUGCUAAGGAUUUACUUUGAACAUUUCGAUGAUGUAAUUAGUUAAGAUGUGGCCAUACCGGCCUAGGGGGCCCUAAAUCCAGUGAGACUGGUAUCCUUAUAAGAAGACGGAGACACGGGGAGAAGAUGGCCCCGUGAUACCAGAAGCAGACUGGAGUGAUGCAUCUGCAAACCAGGAAACAUCAAGCAAUGCUGGCAACACCAUGAGAAGAGAUAAGGGAGGACCCUUCCCUAGCACUUCAGAGGGCAGACGGCCCUUCUGGCACCGUGACUUUGGACUUCUAGCUUCCAGAACCCUGAGAGAAUACACCUGUGGUUUGAAGCCACCCGGUCUUUGCCAGUGUGUCAUGGCAGCUCUAAGAAACCAACCCAGCGUGGUUAUGCAUUGUCCUUAAGUCCAGAUCUUGGCUAACAGGAAGUGGCAAGAAAAUAAGGAAAAGCCAACUCUCUCUCCUCUCUCUCUGGCCAGGAUGGCGUCUCCUGCCACGUGGAGAAGGAGAGCUGCUCCUUCUGCCAUUACUGCCAUUACUGCUAAUGAAAAGUGAAAUGACAAGUGAGGAGUGAGAAAAUCAGAUGGCCCCUGGUGGGCACACGCUGUGGGACUCGUUAGCCAGUGUAAGGAGCUCGGAGAGGUGUGAGGAAAGGUGUGACAGCGCUCCCCAGAGAGGACGGUUCUCCAGAUUUUGAGAAAGGCAUGUCUUCUCUGGUCAUCUCUAGUUUCAGACCCAGAGAAAAGCCCGGUUCUUGGCUGGUAUUUAAGCUCCUCAUUUUUGUCACAUUGCUUUCUCACUCUAAUGGUCUUGAUCAAGUUUUCACCCUGUGAGAGUCACACACAGGAGGAAUGGGAUGGAGCGCUCAGCCAUUCACAGAGCCCAGCCCUACCUCCCUCUGCUUGGUGUGCUUACUCUUGGCAAAAUGCAACUUCCUGUUCAGAGAAAAAGGACUUAAAAAGGAUCGUAAAAUGGGCUCCCAAGGCUCCUUGAAUAGCAAAUAGCUUUUAAAAGACAACACUUUAAUGGCCUAUGAGUAACCAAGUCAAAAACAAAAGUAUUGAAUAUCCCUUUAAAUGUGUAUGAGUUUAAAAAGCAAGAUGGGAAUAGAUUUGGCAAAGUUUCUUCUGGAUUUUAUAGAAUUCAAAAUGCUCGAAAAAUUUUUACCUAUACGCCCACACACAACUGCAAAACUUUUAUAAACGACGUGGGGAGAUAACAAAAAUGAUACUGUGCAAAUCCAAACAGUAUGCAGCUUCUGCAUUGCUGUGCCUGAUGGAAAUAUUUCUCUCUUUUAUGAGCGUCUCUCUGUGCGUGGAGAAGGAAGAAAGAUGGGCGUAUGAGGCAGGGAGGGGAGAAAGGAGGAAGAGAAGCCUAUUCCGGGCUUCAUGGCCGUUCUCAGUACUCACUCGUGUGCCCUCUAAAUGGAACCAUUUGCUGUACAUUUUGAAUUGCUAACAUUUGGUAGACUAGGGGACAAUGGAUUUUUACGUAAACUAUGAAUUUUAUGACAAUGAAUUAGCAUGUUCAUUGAACAGAAAGUAAACAAAGCUUAGUACAAAAUCGGUUCAGUAGAUAACCUAACUCUUCUGCUGCUUAAUGAAGUGUUGGUGAUGAAACCAAAACAAAUAGCUUUAUGCUUUGUAAAGCACAGGGAAACGUACUUUCGUGUUUAAUUACUGUGUGGUUAUGACAAGGCUGGUACCUGCCUGAACCAUAAGUGACAAAGUUGGCAGCAACCGCUCCUGCUUCAGCAGACUGGGUGUUGAACUAACCAGUUACAGCACUGGCAUUAGAACAGAGAGGGAAAAUGGACAUGCAAAUAUAGUCAGUUCUGACGAACCUCCAACAUCUGUGAAGCACCUACUGCGUGUGUGCCAGGCACUGGGGAUAUGGCACAAUGAGAUGGGGGCAUUUGCAUUGUCCAGAACUCUAGGGAGGGUAGGGAGGAUGAGGCGUGACUGUCUUAGUUGUUUUGUGAUGAUGAAUUUCGUGUCACCUUGACCAGACCAGGUUAGUUCAGAUAUUUGGCUAACCUUUAUUCUGGGGGUUUCUGUGAGGGUGUUUUGGAUGAGAUGGGCAUUUAAAUUGGUAGACCGUGUAAAACAGAUGGCCACCCCCCAAGUGGGUGAGCACUAUCCAAUCUGAGGAGGCCUGAACAAAACAAAAGGCAGAGGAGGGGGAUUUGUUCUCUCUGCCUCACUUCUUGAGCUGGGGCGUGGUUCUUUUCCUGUCAUCUUUUUAGGCCAUCUGCUCUCCUGGUUCUCAGACCUUCGGACUCAGACUGGACCCACACCACUGGCUCUGUUGGGCCUCCAGCGACUUCUACAACUGUGCGAGCCAAUUUCUUAUAAUGGCCCAUGUCCCCCACCUGGGUUCUGACUGUCUGGAGAACCCCAAUUAAUACAGAUUUCUAAGGAGACACCGAGGCAAGAAUUUGAGGACUACUAGUUGAAUAGGAGUGAUCCAGGAAGCAUGGCUAGGAAGGAGAGCGACAGAAAUGAGACAGGGAAAGGAAGGAAGUCAGCCAAGGCUCACUGGCACUGUGGGCAACGGGCCACACUGGGAAAUGUUAUGAAACGGAAGCUGAUGUUCGUCUGCCUGAGGGUGAGGGAGGUGGGCCAGUCAUCUUCCAGCUCUCUCCCACUUCACUGCCUGAGAGUUGCUCCUGGGAGCGUUAACUCCUCAGCCCUUCUGGCCUCUGCUGUGCAGAUCAUGAGACGCCUUCACAGGGAGCACAGCAGGCUCUUGUAGACGGAUGCUCUCCACAGGUCCUGGAAGCUGAGGACUGAGGGCAUAAGGGUGUCCUCCUCUUUCUGCUGCGAUAUUGGGAGAAAAUGUCCAUGAUCCUCAUGGUUCGAGGGAAGUGCAACAAUCUAACCAGGAUGUGUCUCAGUGACUGGCCUCUAUUUCCUUUUCUGGAUAAAGGUACAUACCCAGGAACAUCGAAACAUAUGUCCCUGCAAAAACAUGUACAGGAAUGACCACAGCAGCAAUACUCACAAUAGUCAAAAAGUGGAGACAAUCCAAAUGUCCAUGCACUGACAAAACGAUAAACAACGUGUGGCAUACCCAUAUCCACAUGACGGAGUGUCAUCAGCUGUAAGGAGGAAUGACGUUCUGGUAGGCUGUGUGAAAGAAGCCAGACGCAAAGGCCACAUGGGUCACUCCACGCAUAUGAAGUUUCCGCGACAGGCAGAGCUAUGGACACAGUACAUGGAUUCCUGGUUGCCUAGGGCUGGGGGCGGGGGCGACUAGGGGCAAGUGGGGAGUGACUGCUAUGGGGAGAGGGCAUUUCUCAGAGGUGAGAAAGGUCUCUGAAAAUUGCUUGUGAUGGUGGUUGCACAACUUUGAGAAUAUACUAAAAUUCAUUGAAUUAUAUGCACUAAAUGGGUGAACUUUCUCAUUGAAUUAUAUGCACUAAAUGGGUGAACUUUCUCAUUGAAUUAUAUGCACUAAACGGGUGAACUUUCUCAUUGAAUUGUAUGCACUAAAUGGGUGAACUUUCUCCAUGAAUUGUAUACACUAAAUGGGUGAACUUUCUCAUUGAAUUAUAUGCACUAAACGGGUGAACUUUCUCAUUGAAUUAUAUACACUAAAUGGGUGAACUUUCUCAUUGAAUUAUAUACACUAAAUGGGUGAACUUUCUCAUUGAAUUGUAUACACUAAAUGGGUGAACUUUCUCAUUGAAUUGUAUACACUAAAUGGGUGAACUUUCUCAUUGAAUUGUAUACACUAAAUGGGUGAACUUUAUGGCACAUGGAUUGUAUCUCAA